UCCGAUAUGGUGUAGUGGUUAACAUUAUCGCCUCUCAUAAAGUUCCUCUUCGCGAUAGCCCGGGGUUCGAUUCCCCGUGUCGGAA
This is a non-coding RNA of Lentinula detonsa, 85 nucleotides long. The record is from the annotation of a GenBank genome assembly. Lineage: Eukaryota; Fungi; Basidiomycota; Agaricomycetes; Agaricales; Omphalotaceae.